Panthera pardus (leopard) is the source of this 325-nucleotide unclassified non-coding RNA. Its record names the gene 7SK. It matches the Rfam family "7SK RNA". From Rfam's summary of the family: 7SK was discovered as an abundant small nuclear RNA in the mid-70s but a possible function has only recently been suggested. Two independent studies have found that 7SK RNA binds the CDK9/cyclin T complex (known as elongation factor P-TEFb). Lineage: Eukaryota; Metazoa; Chordata; Mammalia; Carnivora; Felidae. The record is from Ensembl.
AGGUGUGAGGGCCAUCUGGCUCCUACAUCUGUCACCCCUCUUUAUCACUAGGGUUGAUUUGGCUGAUCUGGUUGGGUAGGCAACGCCCUCUUCUCCCCCACCACUCCAUAUGCGUCCCUCCUGAAGCUGAAUGAUACUCAGUAGAAAAGGAUGACGUGCUCCAGUAGACGAGGACCACUGUCUGGUCAAGGGGAGCUGUGCUCCCCUACUGGAACCUCCACACAAGCUCUCAAGGUCCAUUAGUAGGAGCAUGCAUGUUGGUCAGGCUCCCAAGACUUCAGACACAUCCAAAUGAGGCAAUGCAUGUGGCAGUCUGCAUUUCUUU